UACGUAGGGGGCAAGCGUUGUCCGGAUUUAUUGGGCGUAAAGAGCGUGUAGGCGGCUUUACAGGUCCGUUGUGAAAACUCGAGGCUCAACCUCGAGACGCCGGUGGAAACCGUAAAGCUAGAGUCCGGAAGAGGAGAGUGGAAUUCCUGGUGUAGCGGUGAAAUGCGCAGAUAUCGGGAGGAACACCAAUGGCGAAGGCAGCUCGCUGGGACGGUACUGACGCUGAGACGCGAAAGCGUGGGGAGCAAACAGG
Molecule: ribosomal RNA, 253 nt
Filed under: uncultured bacterium
Lineage: Bacteria
Description: partial 16S ribosomal RNA
Rfam family: Bacterial small subunit ribosomal RNA
Source: RNAcentral